GACGAACGCUGGCGGCGUGCUUAACACAUGCAAGUCGAACGGUGAAGCCGGAGCUUGCUCUGGUGAAUUAGUGGCGAACGGGUGAGUAACACGUGAGUAACCUGCCCUUGACUCUGGGAUAACUGCGGGAAACUGUAGCUAAUACCGGAUACGACCCUCGGAGGCAUCUCCUGGGGGUGGAAAGAAUUUCGGUCAAGGAUGGACUCGCGGCCUAUCAGCUAGUUGGUGAGGUAAAGGCUCACCAAGGCGACGACGGGUAGCCGGCCUGAGAGGGGGACCGGCCACACUGGGACUGAGAAACGGCCCAGACUCCUACGGGAGGCAGCAGUGGGGAAUAUUGCACAAUGGGCGCAAGCCUGAUGCAGCAACGCCGCGUGAGGGAUGACGGCCUUCGGGUUGUAAACCUCUUUUAGCAGGGAAGAAGCGAAAGUGACGGUACCUGCAGAAAAAGCACCGGCUAACUACGUGCCAGCAGCCGCAGUAA
RNAcentral lists this ribosomal RNA (484 nucleotides) under uncultured bacterium. RNAcentral describes it as "partial 16S ribosomal RNA". It matches the Rfam family "Bacterial small subunit ribosomal RNA", at positions 28 to 523 of the family's 1533-position model. The record is from RNAcentral.